Molecule: ribosomal RNA, 365 nt
Filed under: uncultured bacterium
Lineage: Bacteria
Description: bacterial SSU rRNA
Rfam family: Bacterial small subunit ribosomal RNA
Source: RNAcentral
GAUGAACGCUAGCGGGAGGCCUAAUACAUGCAAGUCGAACGGUAAGGUCCCUUCGGGGAUACACGAGUGGCGGACGGGUGCGUAACGCGUACGAAACAUACCUUCAACAGGGAGAUACCUCCGGGAAACUGGAAAUAAUACCCCAUAGUAUUGUGACAUCGCAUGAUGUUACAUUAAAGCUUUGGCGGUUGAAGAUUGUCGUGCGUCUGAUUAGCUAGUUGGUGAGGUAACGGCUCACCAAGGCGACGAUCAGUAGCUGGUCUGAGAGGAUGAUCAGCCACACUGGAACUGAGACACGGUCCAGACUCCUACGGGAGGCAGCAGUAGGGAAUAUUGGACAAUGGGCGGAAGCCUGAUCCAGCCAU